UCCACGCCCUAAACGAUGCGAACUAGGUGUUGGGGAAGGAGACUUUCUUAGUACCGCAGCUAACGCGUGAAGUUCGCCGCCUGGGGAGUACGGUCGCAAGAUUAAAACUCAAAGGAAUUGACGGGGACCCGCACAAGCGGUGGAUGAUGUGGAUUAAUUCGAUGCAACGCGAAAAACCUUACCUACCCUUGACAUGUCAGGAAGUCUGCUGAGAGGUGGAUGUGCCCGAAAGGGAACCUGAACACAGGUGCUGCAUGGCUGUCGUCAGCUCGUGUCGUGAGAUGUUGGGUUAAGUCCCGCAACGAGCGCAACCCUUGUCAUUAAUUGCCAUCAUUCAGUUGGGCACUUUAAUGAGACUGCCGGUGACAAACCGGAGGAAGGUGGGGAUGACGUCAAGUCCUCAUGGCCCUUAUGGGUAGGGC
RNAcentral lists this ribosomal RNA (422 nucleotides) under uncultured bacterium. Its description in RNAcentral is "bacterial SSU rRNA". It matches the Rfam family "Bacterial small subunit ribosomal RNA", at positions 794 to 1214 of the family's 1533-position model. The record is from RNAcentral.